Molecule: non-coding RNA, 370 nt
Organism: Coriobacteriaceae bacterium BV3Ac1
Lineage: Bacteria; Bacillati; Actinomycetota; Coriobacteriia; Coriobacteriales; Coriobacteriaceae
Source: Rfam
GAAGUGGAUCAGACAAUCGCGGGACGUAGAUAUUAUCUAUGGUAUCUACGUCAUGAGGAAAGUCUGGGCUCCAAAGGGUAGAAAGCUGGCUAACAGCCAGGCGGGGCAACCCGACGGAAAGCGCCGCAGAAAAGAAAACUCCCACUGCUCGUCUUGGCGAGUAAGAGAAAAGCUGAAACGGUGGUGUAAAAGACCACCAGCGUCUAGGCAACUGGACGGCUUGGCAAGCCCCUUUCGGAGCAAGCGCAUAUAGGAGCGCUCAAGUGUGACCCGCACUGCGCUCGGGUAGCGUGCUAGAGGAUGUCAGUAAUGGCAUUCGUAGAUAAAUGAUUGUCCACGACAGAACCCGGCUUAUCGAUCCACUUCGCAU